GACGAACGCUGGCGGCGUGCUUAACACAUGCAAGUCGAACGGAAAGGCCCUGCUUUUGUGGGGUGCUCGAGUGGCGAACGGGUGAGUAACACGUGAGUAACCUGCCCUUGACUUUGGGAUAACUUCAGGAAACUGGGGCUAAUACCGGAUAGGAGCUCCUGCUGCAUGGUGGGGGAUGGAAAGAUUCGGCGGUGGGGGAUGGACUCGAGGCUUAUCAGCUUGUUGGUGGGGUAGUGGCUUACCAAGGCUUUGACGGGUAGCCGGCCUGAGAGGGUGACCGGCCACAUUGGGACUGAGGUACGGCCCAGACUCCUACGGGAGGCAGCAGUGGGGAAUAUUGCACAAUGGGCGGAAGCCUGAUGCAGCAACGCCGCGUGCGGGAUGACGGCCUUCGGGUUGUGAACCGCUUUCGCCUGUGACGAAGCGUGAGUGACGGUAAUGGGUAAAGAAGCACCGGCUAACUACGUG
This 468-nucleotide ribosomal RNA is filed under the name uncultured bacterium. Its description in RNAcentral is "partial 16S ribosomal RNA". It matches the Rfam family "Bacterial small subunit ribosomal RNA", at positions 28 to 507 of the family's 1533-position model. The record is from RNAcentral.